This 243-nucleotide ribosomal RNA is filed under the name Triticum aestivum (bread wheat). RNAcentral's name for it is "partial small subunit ribosomal RNA". Lineage: Eukaryota; Viridiplantae; Streptophyta; Magnoliopsida; Poales; Poaceae. The record is from RNAcentral.
AUGUCGACGGGGGAGGAGCAGAGAGCGAGUAAGCCGCCGGCGACGGUGAGGAUCGUCGAGACGCUGUACGUCGAGGCCGGCACGGCCGCCGACUUCAAGUCCGUCGUGCAGCGGCUCACCGGGAGGGACUCCGCCUCCGCCGCAGCACUACCAGUGCAAGACCGGACGACUCCGCAGGGUGCUGACCGGGGGGCUGGCGCGGGGGGAGGAGGUGGCGCCUCCGACGCAAAGCGGGGCAGCUGA